RNAcentral lists this small RNA (88 nucleotides) under Paenibacillus sp. MY03. RNAcentral describes it as "BsrC". It matches the Rfam family "BsrC". From Rfam's summary of the family: The 301 nucleotide sequence from Kouji Nakamura has been trimmed to a highly conserved ~85 nucleotide long core to form this family. The record is from Rfam by way of RNAcentral. Lineage: Bacteria; Bacillati; Bacillota; Bacilli; Caryophanales; Paenibacillaceae.
UUUUCCCAAAACAACGAAAGCCCUACCUCUCUUCCGUCCUUGCGGCUCCAUUGACCGCGCCAGUGUGAAUCAGAAAAACAGUUGAAAC